Non-coding RNA from Heterocephalus glaber (naked mole-rat), 131 nucleotides. The record is from Ensembl. NCBI's taxonomy places the organism in Eukaryota, Metazoa, Chordata, Mammalia, Rodentia, Bathyergidae.
UGGGAGGCAGAUACAUAAAUUGAGCUGAAAUGCUGCUCUAAUUGUCACGAUACCUCCCAAGAAUAAAUUGCCUUUUGAUGACCGGGACGAAUUGAGUGAAAUCGUAACGGACAGAUACGGGGCAGACAGUU